CCUGCUGGGGGCAAAUAUAGUGAAUGUGACUAUCAAUCCCGCCCGGCGUGACGAUGCGCCCUUCCGCAGCGAUGAUCUCCGUUCCCGGCCCGAUGAUAAUGUCCACACCCGGUUGGGUAUCCGGGUUCCCCGCCUUACCGAUGGCCGCAAUACGGCCCGCACGAAUGCCAAUAUCCGCCUUGAUGAUUCCCCAAUGGUCAAAAAUCACCGCAUUGGUGAUGACCGUAUCCAUCGCUCCUUCAGCCCGACUGCGCUGGGACUGGCCCAUGCCAUCCCG
Molecule: small RNA, 277 nt
Filed under: Bombella favorum
Lineage: Bacteria; Pseudomonadati; Pseudomonadota; Alphaproteobacteria; Acetobacterales; Acetobacteraceae
Description: 5' ureB small RNA
Rfam family: 5' ureB small RNA
Source: RNAcentral